RNA transcript from Chelonia mydas (Green sea turtle), 4310 nucleotides. It is a transcript of the gene named cyclin Y, with no coding region annotated. Lineage: Eukaryota; Metazoa; Chordata; Testudines; Cheloniidae. The transcript is spliced from 11 exons. The record is from RefSeq and is a predicted model, not a curated record.
GCCGCGGCGCGACGGGAAGGCAGCCGCAGAUUGGACAGGCGCGGUCCCCGCACGAGCUGCCUGCCCCCGGCCGCUCUGUUCCCUUCCAGGGCAGCCGCCGCCGCGGGAGGAGGGGCUACGGCCCUGCGCCUGGGGCUUCCCCUCUCCCGAGGCGCAGCAGCAGCGCCGCAGCUGGGCGCACCCCGGGAGCGGGCGGCGCCGCUGCACGCGCCCCGUGUCUGCCUUCCCAGCCCGGCGGGCAGGUGUUGCCGCCACCCGCUUGAACCGGAACCGUUUUUGCAAAGGCAGCCUGGGAAGCUGCGGUGCCGCCGCCGCCGCGUGCGCCGGGGGAGUGGAUCCAGCCCGCUCCUGGGGAGGCGGAGGAGGAGCGCGGCCGCUCCGCCGCUGGCAAUGGGGCUGUGCAUGCCCCAGGCUUAGCCGGCCUGUGCCCUGCCUGCCAGGGCAGGAUGAUUUAGCAGCUGCGCCCUCCGCUCGGCUGGACGUGCUCGGGGCACGGCUUCUUGGAUGAGCCGCCGCGGGGAUCAGCCAGGGAGCGCGGCUGGAGGGAGCAGCCGCCACCGCCUCUUCCUCUGCUGCUUCUUGUUUUCUCCGCUGCUGCCCAUGGCUUCUCGCCCCCGCCAGUGACGGGCUCCCCCUGCAUCCUCCCGCGCCUGGCCCGGCGGCGAAGGAAGAUGGGGAACACCACCUCCUGCUGCGUCUCCUCCAGCCCCAAGCUACGCAGGAAUGCCCACUCCCGGCUGGAGUCCUACCGCCCGGAGCCCGAGCUGAGCCGCGAGGACACGGGCUGCAACCUGCAGCACAUCAGCGACCGGGAGAACAUAGACGAUUUGAACAUGGAGUUCAACCCAUCAGAUCACCCACGGGCCAGCACAAUAUUCCUCAGUAAAUCUCAAACAGAUGUGAGAGAAAAACGCAAGAGUCUCUAUAUAAACCACCAUCCUCCUGGGCAACUGAGAAGGAAAUACAGUUCCUGCUCCACUAUUUUCCUGGAUGACAGCACAGUCAGUCAACCAAACCUCAAGUAUACAAUUAAAUGUGUAGCUCUUGCAAUAUAUUACCACAUAAAAAACAGGGACACAGACGGAAGGAUGCUCUUAGAUAUUUUUGAUGAAAACCUUCACCCCCUUUCGAAAUCCGAAGUGCCACCAGACUAUGACAAACACGACCCAGAGCAGAAACAGAUUUACCGCUUUGUUCGGACGUUAUUCAGUGCUGCUCAACUGACUGCUGAAUGUGCCAUUGUCACCCUGGUAUAUCUUGAAAGACUGUUAACUUACGCAGAGAUAGAUAUUUGUCCAGCAAACUGGAAGCGAAUUGUACUGGGUGCAAUUCUACUGGCAUCCAAAGUUUGGGACGACCAGGCAGUGUGGAAUGUGGAUUACUGCCAGAUCCUGAAAGAUAUCACAGUUGAGGACAUGAAUGAGCUGGAGCGCCAGUUUCUUGAGUUGUUGCAGUUCAACAUUAAUGUUCCCUCCAGUGUUUAUGCCAAGUAUUAUUUUGAUUUGCGUUCCCUGGCAGAAGCAAAUAACCUGAGCUUUCCUUUGGAGCCCCUCAGCAGGGAAAGGGCAUAUAAACUUGAGUGCAGGUGCAAAGCAGCUCUAAGGCAGUAUAGCUGGUCAUAAGAAGAACAACCCAGAGGAGGGGGACCCCACAGUGAUGUAGACCUGGUGUAAUGGCUCUUGGACUAUGCGCACAUCCUGUGACUGGGAAAAGGGGGACGUGACUGAGGCUUCCCUGCUGUUUGACAGUCCCUGGCUGCCAUAAUGGACCCUUAGAGACAUUGGCUAUCUCUCGCUUGUGUGAAGAUAAGUAUAAAGACUUCAGGAAAUCUACAAAGAAGCGGUCAGUUAGUGCUGACAAUCUGACUGUGGUUAGAUGGUCCCCUGCCAUCAUCUCCUAACUAUGGAAUCUGGGAUAUUUCGACAGAAGGACUGUUUCAUCCAUCCAAAUUUUUUGGAGUGUAAUGGGGGAAAGACAAGACUUUGGGGUUUUUACUUUUAGAUCCGUCAAGCUGCCUUUACAGUGCCUCCCCCUUGUGUAGCACAUAAGAAUAAAAAAUUGAGAGGAAGGAGAAAUCAGUACAGUAUACAGGAGAGGAGAUUGGAAGCAACUCUCUCUCUUUUUUUUUUUUUUUGGUCACUAUUCCUCACAGCUUUUUCUGAGGAAACAGCUAGUUAAAUGCUUGGAAGAGGAAACAAAAAAAAAAAAAUGGAGUAGAGGCAGAAGGAGAUUAGGGGACUGUGCCAUUUUUUUAAUAUUCUGUACUCUUCAGCAGAAAUGACGGCAUGAAACCAAACCACAUGAUAAGUAUGGCUGUGCACUAUAGGAAUGGAGUUGAAUUAUUUCAUCUUAAAUUAUUCUCCAUAGUAUCUUCUCUUUUUUUUUUUUUUUCCUGCUUCUCUGGGUUAUUUUUCCAGCUCUUCUGCACAGCAGCAAAUACAAAGUCUGUAUCUACAGUAGCACAAACCUCUGAAAAAAUAGUAUUGGUGGGUUUUUUCAUUGCACUUUUCUCCGUGAGCUGACUUAUUUGCAUUAUUCUUCAUAAUCGUUAUGCAUAUGUUAUGUUUUAUAUUCCUUUUAUUGUACUUAAAAAUAUAACUUGACCAUAGUGCUGAACCAAAAGUUUAUACUAAGAUCAGAUGAUCAUUCGUAAUUUCAUUAUGUAGUUUAUUUAUAGUAUAUGUAGGUGUGUGUGCCUUCCUGGAAUCAUUUAUAUUUCCUUAAUAUAAAGACAGGAUUGUGGAAGGAUUCAGUGAUGAUGAGACUUGGGCCAAAUUGUUGAAAUUUCCAUCAGAUCUUGUAGUCCUUUUUGCAAAUUUUCAUAGCAUUAGAAGUUUAGAAGAAUUCUAUAUAAAAGAGAGAGUUUUUUGUAGGGCCCAGCUAGUUCAUUCCUUCACCUCCAGAUCCAUUGUUGCAAGCAAUAGCCUCAAUUUUUAUAUGUUUACUUUAAAUCAAAGUUAGUUUGUUUGUAUAAAAUAAAAAACUUUAAAAAAAAUUGUUCCAGUGAAAAGGUUCAUAGAAGAGCAGAAUAUUAAUCAUUACCAAGGUAUUGUCACAGGUAGAUUGAAUUGGAAAAAAGAAAAAAAAAAAAAAAAACCUUUCAUUUUUCAGUGUAGGUGCUUUCAGAAAUUUAAACAAAAUUCAAACUGUGAAGACCAUUUUCUGCUACGUUGAUUCUUGUACUCUUCUGUUGUUAUUGGUUUCCUUCUCCUCUUGUGCCUUUUCCCUCAUGAGAGACACAAGAACCUUUUAUAUCAAAUAAUGUAUCUAUGUAAAAACAUUUGUUUGCUCUAUAAUGCUCGUGGGUGUCUGAUUUUAUGAAGAUUUUUUGCACAUUUUAGAAAGAUACAGUUGAAAAAUCUGGGUUCCCUGAAUUUUUUUUCCCCAAGUUUCCUUGAAGUGAAUGGCAGCAGACUUCCUGUAUUUGACUUGCUUUAUGCACUACUCCAGUAAAUGAUAGUCCAUAUUAGUUUUAUUAAGCCCCUUAGGGCUUAUAGCAGACAUACGGGCUCAUGGAUACAUGUUCCACUCCCAGUGCAGUGCUGAUCAGAUGCCUUGAAAGUGGAGAGGCACUGAAAGGAUUGCAGUACUAAUACCAGAGUUUUCUAUUAAUAUUCUAAAGUGAUAUGUAUAGUAUGAAACAUUAAAGUCUUGCCCAUAAAUUCUCUUAAUGUCUUUCAGGGCAUUAAAAGUAAUCUAAUUCUCAUCCUUUAUCAUUGUGCCAAUGCAUCAGAACUGUGAGUACCCAGGUCCAUUUCUUUUCCUUGAACAUCGAAUGUAAAGACCACUCUUGAAAAUAGAAAAAAUGUAGAGCAUUUGAAACUCAAUUCAAAAUAUAGCUAAGGGGGCAUUUUCUUAGCAUUUGGACUUUGAGAUCCCUGCCAAGCAUAAAUUUAGGUUUUACCGAUCUGUAAAAUGAUUUGUUUUAUCAAAACUUUGCAAAACAAUUUUCUGUUAACUUUAUAGCAGGAAUAUUAGUUUUAUCCAUAUUUUUUCAGUGAUAGAGAUAUGAACUCUGAACUAUGUAAAGAUCUCCGUGCAUCUACUAUAAUUUUUGUGGAGUUUAUUAAACUACUUUAAAGAUUGUAUAGUCUAUUUAUUGUAUGUAUGUACAUACAGUCUGAUUUAAAAAAAAAAAGUGGAUUCCGUAAAACCCGGCUCAGUCACGUUUAGACUAUUGAAUAUUGUUUUAGCCUUGUGCACUGGACUCUACCUCUGUAUAGGAGAAUUUUCCAUAUCCUUAAUUAGUACUGAUUCUGUGAUUAACUUGGUUGUUUCUUGCACUAAGAAUUAAAAAAAAAAAAAAUCUG